Molecule: small RNA, 129 nt
Filed under: Arabidopsis thaliana (thale cress)
Lineage: Eukaryota; Viridiplantae; Streptophyta; Magnoliopsida; Brassicales; Brassicaceae
Description: ATSL074600
Source: RNAcentral
AUAAAAAUAGAAUCUAUAUAUACAUUGUUGCAGUCAUUUUGUGAAAUAAAUCCUGGAGUUGGAAUUUAUUUACAAUGGCUACCAUUGGCUUUUAAUUAUUGUUUUUUUAGCAAUAAAUUGAUUAACAAA